UACGUAGGGGGCAAGCGUUGUCCGGAAUUAUUGGGUGUAAAGAGCUCGUAGGCGGCUUGUCACGUCGGAUGUGAAAUCCCGAGGCUCAACCUCGGGCCUGCAUUCGAUACGGGCUAGCUAGAGUACUGCAGGGGAGACUGGAAUUCCUGGUGUAGCGGUGAAAUGCGCAGAUAUCAGGAGGAACACCGGUGGCGAAGGCGGGUCUCUGGGCAGUAACUGACGCUGAGGAGCGAAAGCGUGGGGAGCAAACAGG
RNAcentral lists this ribosomal RNA (253 nucleotides) under uncultured bacterium. Its description in RNAcentral is "partial 16S ribosomal RNA". It matches the Rfam family "Bacterial small subunit ribosomal RNA", at positions 524 to 776 of the family's 1533-position model. The record is from RNAcentral.